GAGGGUGAAGCGACUUGCCCAGGGUCACACAGCUACUCUUCACGUGGGCAAACCAGGAGCCGUAGGACACUACAUCCAGAGAAAGGAAAAGGUCAAAUCUACUUCUGCUUCUUGUUCUAUCCCUUUUGGCCAAACAGAACAUGUCCAAUCCCUCUCCGAUGAUAACCCCUCAGAUGCUUGAAGACAGCUGUACCCUAUGCCACUCAACCAGAGGACUGAAGUCUUUAAGAAGAAGCUGAAUGACCUCUUGUUGGGAAUACUAUAAAGGUGAUUCUUAUAUAUGUUCAGUUCAGAUUAGAUGCCACUGAGCUCCUGUGGGAACCUCUAUUCCACAACAGAGAACUUUCACAUAGAAAGAUGAUGGGGACUCUUGAAGAGGAAUCAAUCAAAGAUAUGAGGCCACUGAGGCACAGUCGAUAAAGAGCUAGCCUCAGGGUUAGGAAGGCCUAGGUUCACAUCUUGCCUCUGAAACGUAGAGUGACCCUUGAUAUCCCAGUGUUCCAAGCAGCUUUCUAAGAAUUUAAGAGUAGGCAAGGAUCUGUAUUGGUGAGGAGAAUUCUUGCUUGAGAUUCCCAAUGCCAAGGAAAGCAGAAGUCUGGUUCGAUAGACAAAGAAACCCAGGCUUGGAAGUGAGUCUGAGGGAGAUAAAUUGCUGGAAUAUUUAAUGCCCAAAGUAGGGGGUUAUAUAACAGGGCUUCUAGACAAAUUUGGAACUCUUCUUUCUAUAUUUUGCCACAUAUGUUCAUUUUAAAGUGAAUGUCAGUUCAGCUCACAUAAAAGCAAUCAACUUAAAAAAAUACUGUAAAAUAAAUUUGGAUAUUUCUCUCUUAA
Molecule: non-coding RNA, 831 nt
Organism: Phascolarctos cinereus (koala)
Lineage: Eukaryota; Metazoa; Chordata; Mammalia; Diprotodontia; Phascolarctidae
Source: RefSeq, a predicted model, not a curated record